UGGUGUUUUGUCUUUUGUUUUUCUUCCUGGAGGCGGUGCAGAUCCUGAAUGGAGUGGUGAUUCUGGCUUUGGGCAUUUUCCUGGGAUCCUCAGAGUUCCUGACCCACUUCUUCAGGCACUUCUUUUUUUUCACGUUCUACACAGGGUAUCCACUAUGGGGCAGUGUGUUUGUGAGUAUCCCUUUCCCCCUGGCAUUUAUUGAUCAUUUCUUAGAUGCAACAGCUAGAAGCAUGAGCUCCAUCAAGUUCAUAGUCUAUAUUUUGAAUUAAGAGGCUGGUUAUGUUUGGUUAUGAAAGUGUUGUUUGUAGGUCAUUUGAAGGCUACAUACUGUGGCUUUAAAUUAUAGUUUUUGACAUAAGCAAGGUGAAAAGAAGUCCCUUUCUUUCUGAUUCAAGAAAUCAUAUUUGCUAAGCACAUUUAAGUCCCAAACAGGAACUUAGUAUCUAGAGGUUAAAUUUAUGGAUACUAACAGAAUCCAAUGAAAAAUGAGUACUGGUGAAUGAAUAUUGCCCUGUGGUUCAGCUGGGAGUCCAGGCUUGGGAGAUGAGAAAUUUUUCUGUGGAUCACUGUUGGAAAACCAGAAGAGCCAUUUUCCUUAUCUGGGUCAAAAUGUAUUCAGAAAAACAAACAAACAAACAAACAAACAAACAAAAACCCCAUCCAUAGAUGGUUCCUACAUGUUCAGUCAGAAUCCACAGAUGGGGGCCUAGGUGAUCUUUUGGAUUUACUCGUUCAUCUUUGUUAUUUUAUUAUUGUUUGCCUGAGAUUCAUUUUUUAAAGUGGCUAAUAGAAACUCUUAAUCAGCCAUUGCUACUACUUACUAUUACUAAUAUCAUUAUUAUUUGCUUGUUUAUCCCUAGUGCUAGAUCUUUGACAAGUUACCUAUGUCCAGUUCUGAACUGAACUUAAAAAAUAAAGCAGCUAUUGUAAAAUGUAAGAUGGAGAUAUGUAAUUGAAAGUUGUGAAUAGGACAGUUAUUGGCAAAUGAAGGGAAAAAACUUCUAAAAAUGAAUAUUUCAUUCCUUUUCUUUCUCCCCAAAUCUCCAAACUUUAGCUCUCCUUUAAAAUGAAAUUGCUAAAAACAACAACAACCACAGAAAAAGAAGAUUGCUCUUAAUCUGGCUAUUUCUUGAUCAAAAUCAGAGUUCAUAUUCUGAGAAAAUAUUAUAUACUGUUUCUGGGUACAGUCCAAAACAUGUAAUUUGGGUUUAGCAUUCCAGAAAUUUUUAGAUAAUAUUAUUUUGAUGCUAGUUAAGCUCUGAAUUUUUCUAAAUAUAUUUUGCAUAAUAAAUCCUGACUACCUAAAUGGUGGAUUUCCAUACUGUACUGUAGAAAAGAGAAUACUGAUUGCAGUGUUUCAGUGAGGAUAGUGUUUUUUUUUUUUCCCUCAUUUUAACAUCAUCAACACUAAGACUCAAAACUGACAAUUGCUGGAAGCUUCUCUCUGGUCCAUACCACUGCAGAGCACAGUCUAAGGUCUAUGAUGUGCCCUCUGUGCCUGCUCUUACCUAUAGCCACAGCCUGGUCCUCACCCCAAUGUGUCCAUGCCCUGUCAUGUACUGACCACAUGAUCCUUUCUAUUUGCUCAUCUCUCUCUGGCUCAUCCUGAUGAACAGUGUGAUAUCAGAAAAGACAUGAGCUCUUGCCCUUCAGUUUCCUCACCAGGAUGGUAAAAAUAGCAUGAGGACCCUCUCUGGAUCUCUGGAAUUAAAUGCAAAAAUGUAUAUAAAAACUUUAGAUAUCAUUGACAAUUUGGAUGUUUUCUGUGUGCUGGGCAAAUACUUAAGUCCUUUUUAUGUAUCAUUUUAUUUUAUCUCCACACUGCUAUCAGGUAGGUGAUCUCAACAACAGGGAUGCACAUAUCUCCAUUUUGCAGAAGAAGAAACAGGUGGGGAGUGAUUUGGCAGGGAUUUGAUCAAGGUGACAGGACAAGUAUAAGAGAGAGCAGGGAUGGGGACACAGAGCAUAUGCUCUUACAGAGGGGCUGAGGAGGGUCCUGUGAUAACUUCUGCUUCUUUAACUGAAGCAGAAUCCAUAGAUGUUUCCUGCACAUUCAGUCAGAAUCCAAUAGCUGAAUUUUUAUGUAGCAAGAUUUCUCUUCAUGUUUUCGGCAACUUUUCUCGCAAUCCAUAGGAAUGAUUUGGUGAAGGGUGGUGAGAUUGAGGAGUUAAAAACAAUAAAAGUUAGGAAAAUCAUAACUAUUGUGAGAAUUCAGUGUAUCGAAAUUAGUAUCACAGAAAUAGGAUUAUUAUUAAAGAUUUAAAAACUAUAGGGUACAUAGAUAAAGACAUUUAGAUUUAUAAAAUAUCUCUUGGAAUAUCUAGUCCAAUAAUUCAGACACUUAUCUGCAGCCUGAGUAGAAAUAUGAGAAAUCAUAUUCUAAAUGCAUGCAUAUAUAAUUUCAUAUACUUCAUAUAAACAUAACUAUAAUUCUAUUGAAUUAACUAAAUGUAUAUAUGUUUUUAAAGUGUCUAUAAUCACAAAAACUUGUUCAAAGCCAGACAUAAAACAAAAUGAAAAGAGGAUAAGCUUGCUUAAAAUACAAACUACUUUAAAAUUUUAGUUGUAUAAAAUAAUGAGCAACAUCAAGUAUAGUUUUGGUUCUAGCAUAUGCGUUUAGAAAUGAGGUUUGUGUAACUAACGCUAGGCGUCCACUAAUUCAGAGAGGGCCGAGAAGCACAUGGUUGAGACUUAAUAUUCUCUAUCUCCUUUACUUCCCAUUUUCAGUUUAUUAGUUCAGGAUCCUUGACUGUUGUAGCAGGGAGAAAAUCCACAAGAAUGCUGGUAAGUGGCAGUUCUUCUUUCUCUAUGAAUACAGGACUGAAAAUAAAUGAUCUACAAACAAUGGAAAGAUAGAGGUUGGCGAAUCACACUGAGUCAUUUAAUGCACCAGAAAAUUAAUGUUCUGUUCUUAGAGCAUUCAGAUAGAGGGUUUCAGAAAGUCAUAUAAAUUGUGGACGUGUCUAUCUGGGAUGGUUACAAAAUAUUUCAUGAAAAUGCUUCUUGAUUUUUGUGAGUUUGGUUUAACCAAUUUUAAUUAUUUUGAGGAUAGGAUUUCCUGAAACUGAGAGUGAGAAAUUCCAUUCCUUUAGUCACUGAUUAAAUGAUGCUCUCUAUGACGUGUUCUCGCUGAGUCACCCAGCCAUUUAUAUUCCACAUUCCUAUUCCAUUCAUUCACUUUUCCUCCUCCCUCGAUGACUAUUUUACUGUUAUAUUUGUUUUAGGCAGCCUUUUUGCUGCUGUGACCAAAAGACCUGACAAAAACAAUUAGAGGAGGAAAAGACUUAUUUGGGGGUUCACAGUUUCAGAGGUCUCAGUCCAAAGAUAGCUGGCUCCAUUCCUCAGGGCUAGAGGUAAGGCAGAACAUCAUGGCAGAAGAGUGUGGUGGAGGAGAGUAGCUCAGGAUAUUAUUAGGAAGGAGAGAGAGAGAGAGAGAGACACUCCACUCACCAGAUAUAAAAUAUAUACUCCAAAGGCACUCCCCCAAUGACCCACCUCCUCCAUCCACACUCCAUCAGCCUUCACUUAUAACCCAGUUAAUCCCUAUGAGGGGAUUAAUUCACUGAUUGGGUUAAGGCUCUCAUAACCCCAUCAGUUCACCUCUAAGCCUUCUUGCAUUGUCUCACACAUGAACUUUUGGGGGUCACCUCACAUUCAAGCCAUAACAAUAUUCAUCUUCAAACACCAGUCCCUUUUCUCACAACUCCACUCUCUGUUGAUGUCCUUGCUCUCUGUUCUGAGAUUCUGAGAAAACAGAAGCCAUCCAAAGAGAGCUUUCAGACCCCACUACAACACCUACUCUGUGGAGUAGAUCUGCUUUGAUAUUUUUCUUAUUCUAGCCUCUUGGCAUAGGUGAACUCUCUGUGAUUUCCUUUAAAGCUGAUUCCUCUACCUGAGUGUUAUAUUCCUUUCAUUUUUCCCCACAGGAAUUUAUCACUCCUGUUUAUGGCUCUCUACCAGAUCUUUCUAAAUCAGUAUAUGAGCAUCUAGUUACUUAAAAAUGUAUAUAUGUGUGUGUGUAAAUAUACAUAUACAUAUGUGUAUAUAUAUAUACAUAUGUAUAUAUAUAUAUUUUUAAGUAAAUAUACACACAUACACAUACAAACACACACAGCUUGACCCAAACCUACUUUAGUAAGACUACUUUCUUCCCUACCAUACCUCUGUAACUGCUCUUUUUAAAAGAUCACUGGUAACCUCCACAUUGCUAAAAAACAGGCAAUCCUCAGUCCUCAUCUGACUAAAUGAUGAGCAAUGGUCAGCACAGCUGGCCACUCAUUCUUCCUCCAGGAAUUUCUUCCCUUGGCCUCUCCUCCACCUUGACUGGCUGGUUUCCUCCUGUCUUCUGGGUUCACCUUCUCAUCUCCUUUCCUGGUUCCUUUUCUUGUGCCUGAUCUUUGGGUGUUAGGGUCCUCAGUGUGCGAUUCCUUGCCACCUGCUCUUCUCAACCUACACUCUGUCCUCUGGUGAUCUCAUCCUUUCUCAUGACUUCAAAUAACAUCUCUAUACCCCACAACCCCAAGGCAAAUAUUUCCAUACUAGAUUUUUCUCCUGAGCAUCAGUUUGGCAUAUCUGCCUUCUUCCACUUAGAUAUCAAAAAGGUCCAAAACCCAAUUCUGCAUCUUCCUCCUGAAUCCACCUCUAUGUGAUGUGGCUCUCCAUUAUUUUCUGUCUUGGUUUCCUAAUCUUCUCUGUUUGCCUCCAACGGCCUUGGUCACCUUGCUUCUCUGGAGCACCGUGGCCUUGGGGCUUUGAACGAGUGUUUCUGACUGUGCGGACAUCUCCCUAUGCAUCUUCUCAGACAUCUGGAGUAACAUAAGUUCUUUGGUCCUCUCCCCACAUGUCAUUUAUUCCCAUUUAAUAUCACAAACCUCCACUCCUUUUUUUUGGAUUUUCAGAUUCUCCCUACAUCAUUUUAUUAACCCAAAGUACUUAAUUGCUUCAAAAUACUGUAUAUAUUACCUAUUAGUAGGUUUAUUGUUUCCUUUAUCUUUAUUCCUAGCACAGAAGCUCCAUGGGUGGUGGGGGGUUUUGUUCAUCCAUGUCUGUCCUGCAUCUAGAAUAUUGUUGGGUGUCAAUCAGUCCAUAUUUGUAGAAAUGAUUUAUUGCCGGGGGAUAAAAGAGGGCCGCAUAUAUUAAUGGAAAAUUCUUUUUCUUUCUUAGAUGCAAAACAGUUUUGGAAUGAACAUCGCCAGUGCUACAAUUGCCUUCGUUGGGAUCGUUUUUCUCUUAAUACAUCUAGUACUAAAUAACCAGGCCUUCAGGAGUUGUCCGUCUUCCCGGUCUCCAGAUUUAUGCAAUUACCUGGGUUCCUCAUCAAAUGUAGGCAAUUAAAACUAUGUCUAAUCAUAGAAAAUAAUUUAAACAUUUCAAAAUGUACAGAAAACAAUAUGUCAUAUGUUAUGCUACCUGGAUUUAAAUUUGUCUUUGCUGCCUAUUAGUGCUGUAAUGAAGGGAAAACUAAAUAAGGUUGGUAUUUUAAUUUUCUCACUCUUAAAAUGAGGAAAAUAAUAGUAACCAUAGGGUUAGUGUAAGAAUGAAAUGAUACUUGAAAAGCAAUGAAGGCAAUACUUAGCACAUCAUGUUAUAUUCUUAUUGACAUUACAAUUAAUUCUAUUAUGCUAUUUUUUUUUAAAAAAACUUUAUCUCAUGUAUCUUUGCUUAAUAAAGCAAACUUGAGAGACAUACAACUUUCUCUGAAGUCUGAAAAGUUUUGAUUGACUUCACUUCUGAGUUUCCAAGUUAUGAUCUUUUGAAAAAGAAGCUCUUUAAUAGGCUGUCACAUGAUUUUUUGGUCUGUGUUUUAGGUAUUAUACCUCUUUGAAGUCAACUUAGAAAUUAAUAUUGUCCUUCAAGUGUGUUGAGUGCAGCCCAGUGAUUGCCAAAUUAUUAUUUAUCCAUCCCUGAUCCUCCUGUUUUCUGGCAUCAUCAUGGAAAUCUGAGUCUGCCUUUUCUUUAUUAAAUUUUUAAUUAUCUAAGUUUAUAUUUACCUGAGUUUGACUUUUUUUGUGUGGAUUUAGUGGCAUUUUCCCUCCAGAAAAGUUUGUAAUUGUAUUUCUUCUAAGUGCCUCAGUGAUAUAGAAAGAUCACUAGUAAACCAACAGUGUUUACUUUGUGUUUAUACCAGCUUUUUGCUUUAGUUUCUAAGGAUAACGUAAAUGCCCAAACAGCUAUGAGGUGCUAUUGAUAAAACAGAGAAGGGAUCACUUUUCUCCAUUUUCUUAAAUUACCUACUCAUUUCCUUAGUUUAGUUCUUUUCUAACUGAGCAAUGUUAGCAAUAGUGUUAGAAUUUUGCCUCUGUGAUCCCUCUCCCAUGACUAGUUCACUUGAAUUUAUGUACAAAUCGUACACCUUUCUCUCUCCAGGGAAAAUGUUCCCUUGCUGCUGAAUUAAGAGUGCAGCCCUUCUACAGAGUUUGUGUCUUAAAUCUAAUUUGGGAUUAAUUUUGUUGCAUUUUGUGGGAGGGAGACUCUGUGGUCUGGUUUCCUGCUGACAGAUUUUUCCUGAGGAUGUUUCCAUUGUGUUUGAUGUGAGAUACCAUCUCCCCUAGGGCUUGGUGUCUCUAAUGCUCAUCUUCACUUUGCUGGAAUUGUGCAUAACUAUCUCCCUCUCAGCCAUGUGGUGCAAAGGAAACUGCUGUGAUUCAAGAGAGGUGGGUUUGUUUAAAUGAGGAAUAAAUUGCCUGGUCUGCAGAUUGCUAUCUGGGGUUGAAGUUAUUUCUGGAAGAAUUGGAAAGAAACUUUGAUGUGGCAAUGUUUCUUGGGGUUCCUGGAGUUAGACAUUGCAUCAAUGUUAGAGAUGGAAUGAAAUACAGAAAAGAACUCAAAUGUGAAAAUGCAAAAGGAAACUACGUAUUUAAUACAUGAGAGGAUGCUUUUUUAUGCACCUGGAAUUAAUUUUAAUUAUUUCAUUUUAACUUGUGACUUUCUAGCUAUAUGAUUUUUGUAGGAAAAAAUCACAUAUUUUCCCUAGAUUUUAGGUAUCCUGACUUUAAAAUAAAAAUAUAUAUAUAUUUUUUCAUUUUCUUCUGAUGUUUGUUCUGAAGACUGUGCACAUCACCUUUAUUCAAGUAGUAAUAAGUUGGAUGAAUAUUAUUAGUGAUGGUUUAAUGGUAACAGGAAGAGAUGGGAGGAGGAGAUGGUGAUCCUAUUCUUAGAGACAAAUGUUUUGUUUUGCAGGAAAUUUCUUCACUUCCCAGUUCUAUGGAAUCAGGAAUACCUCCUAAUGAAGGUAAUUCGGAGAGCAUCAAAACUUAACCUCAAAUCUCCAAGGAAUCAGAGCUUCAUUCAGGAACUCAGGAAAACAUGAGCUGAUGAAACUCAAUCCUUCUCUCAUGGCACCAAUCAUGGAAACUUGGACUUAGGCUUUUCUGUCCUAAUCAUAAAUGCCUUUAGUGUGUUCUGGGUAUGGAUGAAUCAAUGUAUUUCUUUAUGAAUUCUUGGAUUUGUAACUUCUACUAUCACUACUCCAAAGUCAUUCCUUAAAAAUUAUUUCUCUUUCUUCUUCCUAUUUCAUCGUUUUAUGAGAUUUAAGGAAAGGAGCUAUUAUAAGCACUAUUUCAUGUUUUCUUCCUAAAAUCUCAUUUCAGACAACCUAGUAAGAAGGAAGAUGAGUCAGAUUUAUUUUUGCAGCACAGAAAUAUUCUUCUUGACUUUAGCCAACAGCAGCAUUACAAAAAUUGUCAAAUAAAAAAUGACCAUCACCACAUAUGUGAACUAUGACUUUGUUUUUCAUAAAAUAUGUGAAUUUAAAUUAUGAGUAGAAAUCGUAGCUAUUAGGAGGCCAUGAGAUAAGAUAGCCUAAGAAUUUAGCUGAAGGCCACACAGGAGAAAUUCAGAAAACGGAAGUCAGUUUAACCACACCUGAAAUUGAAUUUACACUUCUGACUCAACAAGACAUGAAUUUUGUUUUUAUUGUACAAAUGAUGCUUGUAGCAAAUAAUUUCUCUCCUGGCUUGGCUUUGCUUCAUUCACUUCUAUUGCUUUUAAAAAUAUUCCCAGUAAGGGCUUUCUCCAAAAAGAAUCUAAUGGAAAAUCCUAAUGAACGGUCUCCACUCAAUUCUUAUGGUACAUGAACAAUUUGAGAAGAUGUUGAAGUUUGUAACUUGUAAGACACUGAUAUUUAUGGACUUUGUCCUAUCUUCUUGUCUCAGAGUUUACCAGCAAGCUGGGAAAUCCAAGAAAUGAUGGUUGAUUUAUUGAUCCAUCCAUUCAAUGAAUAAUGAGUUUCACAUAUUUGGCAUUGUGUUGCAAAUUUGUAGAUUAAAUUAUAAGUUGUUAUUUUGAAUCGUUUUUGUCCCAUUUUUCAUUGAAGUUAUUUCGUUCAUCAUGUCAAACACUUCAAAUGAAGCCCAACCAAAUAGAGUAAUAUCCUGUGUAAGUUUGAUACUGAUGCAAGAAGAAUUGAAUUAUCUAAAAAAUAUUUGUAAUCAAAUAUCAUACUAUUUUUUUUAAUUAUCCAAUCUAUAUUAUCAUGCUUCUUUAUUUGUAGUAG
Molecule: long non-coding RNA, 8494 nt
Filed under: Marmota monax (woodchuck)
Lineage: Eukaryota; Metazoa; Chordata; Mammalia; Rodentia; Sciuridae
Source: RNAcentral